Molecule: RNA transcript, 1027 nt
Organism: Suricata suricatta (meerkat)
Lineage: Eukaryota; Metazoa; Chordata; Mammalia; Carnivora; Herpestidae
Gene: CCDC200
Gene name: coiled-coil domain containing 200
Exons: 6
Source: RefSeq, a predicted model, not a curated record
GGUUACAGGCAGUGGGGUGGGAGUGAAAGGAAAAACAGGCGGUGGGGGCAGUGGCAGUAUCCUGGGCUCUGCCUGCCUCCACCUGCUUCUGCCGCCCCCACCAUCAUGGGCAGCGCUUACCACUGGGAGGCCCGACGCAGGCAGAUGGCUUUGGACCGGAGAAGGAGGGUGAUGGCCCAGCAGCAGCAGCAGCAGAAGAGUUUAAAUUACUUGUGGCAUGCAUAUAUUUCAACUGGACAGUGAGGUUUCAAAGCAUUUGCAAGAAAGUAUUCUUUGUUCUUUCUCCUGCACUGCAAACUGUUUUCAGUGCAUAGCCCCUGAGCUGGGAGGAGGAACUCCAAUCUGAGGACAAUACCCGGCCACUUCUGACAUCUCAGCAGGAGCAGCAGCCACUGGGGCAGCUAAGGGCGCAGCCACAGCCGCGGGCGCCCCCCGACCAAGCGCAAGCGCCCCGGCCACAGCUCCAGGAACACUCCCAGAUCCCGCCGCCAAGGCCACAGAAUGCCCAAGACCCUCUUAUUCAGUGCACCUCCGUGCGCGUUCUGCAGGAUUCUCAAAGGCCAGGCCCCCAGCUUGGCUCACUAGGGGCCCAUCAAUUGCCAGGGCAAUCGAACCCUAACAGAUUCCCAGGAUGCACAGAAAUUCCUCAAAACACUGGUGUCCAGAAACCAUUCCAAUCUAAUCCAGUCCAUGAAUUACAUUCAGCAAUGGUGAUCCAGAGAUAGACCCCCCAGCCCACUGGCCAUCAGAAAGAAAAAGAAACCCAGAUGAUCAGCCCCACACUUUCUCAACCCCGGUGGCAUCUCCACUCCAACGGCCCCUGUCUCCGCUCCUGAUCCACUCUAGAAGAGAAGGCCAGCUGGGAAUAAAAUGUGAUGUCCUCCUGAAGAGAAUGAACAGACUGGUUCCCCCGGGGGAGCAGCUGGGACCACCAUUCGACCUCUCUGUGUCCUCACAUGGACUCAGGAUUGUGGUCGCACCACCAGCCAGAAAGCAGCUUUCCUUCAAUAGACACCUUAUCGGAUGA